RNAcentral lists this ribosomal RNA (654 nucleotides) under uncultured archaeon. RNAcentral describes it as "bacterial SSU rRNA". It matches the Rfam family "Archaeal small subunit ribosomal RNA", at positions 508 to 1160 of the family's 1478-position model. The record is from RNAcentral.
GCCUAAAGCGUCCGUAGCCGGCUCUGUUAGUUUUCGGUUAAAUCCAUAUGCUCAACAUAUGGGCCGCCGGGAAUACUACAAAGCUAGGGAGUGGGAGAGGUAGACGGUACUCCGUAGGAAGGGGUAAAAUCCUUUGAUCUAUGGAUGACCACCAGUGGCGAAGGCGGUCUACCAGAACACGUUCGACGGUGAGGGAUGAAAGCUGGGGGAGCAAACCGGAUUAGAUACCCGGGUAGUCCCAGCUGUAAACUAUGCAAACUCAGUGAUGCAUUGGCUUGUGGCCAGUGCAGUGCCGCAGAGAAGUCGUUAAGUUUGCCGCCUGGGAAGUACGUACGCAAGUAUGAAACUUAAAGGAAUUGGCGGGGGAGCACCACAAGGGGUGAAGCCUGCGGUUCAAUUGGAGUCAACGCCAGAAAUCUUACCCGGAGAGACAGCAGGAUGAAGGUCAAGCUGAAGACUUUACCAGACAAGCUGAGAAGUGGUGCAUGGCCGUCGCCAGCUCGUGCCGUGAGGUGUCCUGUUAAGUCAGGUAACGAGCGAGAUCCUUGCCUCUAGUUGCCACCAUUACUCUCAGGAGUAGUGGGGCGAAUUAGCGGGACUGCCGUAGUUAAUACGGAGGAAGGAGAGGGCCACGGCAGGUCAGUAUGCCCCGAA